Molecule: transfer RNA, 68 nt
Filed under: Tylototriton asperrimus (black knobby newt)
Lineage: Eukaryota; Metazoa; Chordata; Amphibia; Caudata; Salamandridae
Description: tRNA-Glu
Rfam family: tRNA
About the family: Transfer RNA (tRNA) molecules are approximately 80 nucleotides in length.
Source: RNAcentral
GUUUUCGUAGUUGAGUACAACAUUGAUUUUUCAGGUCAGAGGCCUUGGUUAGAGCCCAGGUGAAAAUA